UACGUAGGGUGCAAGCGUUGUCCGGAAUUAUUGGGCGUAAAGAGCUCGUAGGCGGUUUGUUGCGUCGGCUGUGAAAUCCCGCGGCUCAACUGCGGGUCUGCAGCCGAUACGGGCAGGCUGGAGUUCGGUAGGGGAGACUGGAAUUCCUGGUGUAGCGGUGAAAUGCGCAGAUAUCAGGAGGAACACCGAUGGCGAAGGCAGGUCUCUGGGCCGAUACUGACGCUGAGGAGCGAAAGCGUGGGGAGCGAACAGG
RNAcentral lists this ribosomal RNA (253 nucleotides) under uncultured bacterium. RNAcentral's name for it is "partial 16S ribosomal RNA". It matches the Rfam family "Bacterial small subunit ribosomal RNA", at positions 524 to 776 of the family's 1533-position model. The record is from RNAcentral.